This 162-nucleotide microRNA precursor is filed under the name Pelobates cultripes (western spadefoot toad). Lineage: Eukaryota; Metazoa; Chordata; Amphibia; Anura; Pelobatidae. The record is from RNAcentral.
GCUGACACAUCCCGGACAAUCUCCAGCAGACCCUCACUCCCAGACCCUCUUACUUCUUGGACAGCAUCCAUGUUUCAACAUCAUGUUUCAACAUGGAUGCUGCCCAGGAAGUAGGAGGGCCUGGGAGGGAGGGUCUGCUGGAGAUUUGCCGGGAUGUGUCAG